UUGUAGCUAGCCAGUUUAGGCGUCUUCACAGUCGGCAAGUUCAACACACCUUCCGUUUUUACUCACAACAGUGGAGGACAUGGGCAGCUUGCUUUAUUCAAGCUGCAUGGCGGCGCUAUUCCAAAAGGAAGAAUAUGGAGCUACGUAAGAAGGAAGAGGAAGCAGAAGCAGAUGAAGCCCAGAGCAAUGCUAGUGGAGGUUCGUACAGCAUUGGUGCUACCUUUUUGGCUACAAGG
Molecule: unclassified non-coding RNA, 236 nt
Filed under: Hevea brasiliensis (rubber tree)
Lineage: Eukaryota; Viridiplantae; Streptophyta; Magnoliopsida; Malpighiales; Euphorbiaceae
Source: RNAcentral